UACGAAGGGGGCAAGCGUUGUUCGGAAUUACUGGGCGUAAAGGGCGCGUAGGCGGCCGAUCAAGUCAGGCGUGAAAUUCCCGGGCUCAACCUGGGGGCUGCGCUUGAUACUGAUUGGCUUGAAUGCGGGAGAGGGUAGUGGAAUUCCCAGUGUAGAGGUGAAAUUCGUAGAUAUUCGGAAGAACACCAGUGGCGAAGGCGGCUCACUGGCCCGGUACUGACGCUGAGGUGCGAAAGCGUGGGGAGCAAACAGG
This 253-nucleotide ribosomal RNA is filed under the name uncultured bacterium. RNAcentral's name for it is "partial 16S ribosomal RNA". It matches the Rfam family "Bacterial small subunit ribosomal RNA", at positions 524 to 776 of the family's 1533-position model. The record is from RNAcentral.